Long non-coding RNA from Daktulosphaira vitifoliae (grape phylloxera), 378 nucleotides. RefSeq lists it as uncharacterized. Lineage: Eukaryota; Metazoa; Arthropoda; Insecta; Hemiptera; Phylloxeridae. The record is from RefSeq and is a predicted model, not a curated record. The transcript has 2 exons.
UAAGUUAACAAUUUUUCAUUAUAAUAAUUGAUUAAAAUAUGAAAGGAAUCAAGAUCACAGUUCUAUUUUUAUCACUGCAUUUGAAAUCUAUAUCUAAAUGUGAAAUAUAAAAAAAAAAGGUAGAAACAAAUUUAGGCGCAAUCAGUUUAUUACAACUGUCUCAAGGUCAAUUGAACUUUGAUCGAGUAACUGUAAACAAACAACAUGCGAUUCUAAUAAGGUUAUGAUGAAAAAUGAGUUGUAACAAUCGACACGUUUUUAUAAUUUUUAAGUAAUUGCUUAACUUAUUAUCGGUCAUUACGUUUUUCUAACGUAAAAAGAAGAUAUAAAAAAUUACGAACAAUUCAACCGUUAAAGUUUAAAGGAAAUUUUUUUAGG